AUUUUUACUUACGAAGUCUCUCGACCAAUUAUGAACCUAAAUCAAUUCUCUCGGCCAAAUUCCCAAAUCAUGGAAGUAGAAGUGUAGAACCCUAAUUUUUUCGACGAAGCCAAUCUCGAAAUUUAUUUGUAACCGGUGCAUUGCUUACUCUAGCUCUCCACUCCCUUCAUCUUUGACUUUAAACCUCGUCAUUGUUGCCAUCUGAAGUAGUUCGUUGUGACCUUCAUUGGCUAUUGAUAUUUGUCUCCUUUGAAGACCUUCCUGCAGUCGCUCUCCAAUUCAUAGGUCUGCACGCUCACGUUCAAGAUCAUUCUCACCUCGGAGGUAAAUUCGAAUAACUUUUCAAAAGAAUGACAUAGCGUUUUCAAUAACUUGCAUGUUCAGAAUUGUAUUCAUCUUUAUUCGCAGAUAUUGCCAAUGUCAGAAUUGAGGACCUUGAACUUAUAGCCAAAAAUUGCCCCAACUUGGUCUCUGUGAAAAUUACUAAUUGUGAGAUCUCACUUCACUUCACUGGGAAAAGCUUGACCUCAAGCUCAACAAUCUCACUUCACUUGAGGGGUUGAGAUCAUGUGUUAAUUUGAAGUGGCUAUCUGUUGUAGAAAACAAAUUAGAAAGCUUAGAAGGAGUUCAAGGACUUACUAAGCUCACAGCUGAUGAUAAUGAAGAUGGAAAAUUGUCGCAGUGCAAACUGUGAAGGCUACAGUGAAGCUCUUCAGAUGCUGCUGUGAGGAAACUUGAAUACAAUAUCAUAGGGUAUUUUGGUGUGCAAUUGGAGAUUCCAUGGCCUUGAUAUCUAUUUGAUCCUCGAUUCUAUAAAGAUCUAUAUUCUGUGAAAAGCAAAUACACAAAUUUUGGUGGUUAACCCGUUUGGAAACUGAAUUAUAUUCCAUGGCCUUGAUAUUUAUUUGCUGAUUAUAUUCUGUGACAAAUAAUAAGACAGAUUUUUAGCAUAUUCUGUU
This is a long non-coding RNA of Gastrolobium bilobum, 959 nucleotides long. RefSeq lists it as uncharacterized. The transcript has 6 exons. The record is from RefSeq and is a predicted model, not a curated record. NCBI's taxonomy places the organism in Eukaryota, Viridiplantae, Streptophyta, Magnoliopsida, Fabales, Fabaceae.